This 76-nucleotide transfer RNA is filed under the name Candidatus Woesebacteria bacterium RIFOXYA1_FULL_38_9. RNAcentral describes it as "tRNA-Thr". It matches the Rfam family "tRNA". Rfam says of the family: Transfer RNA (tRNA) molecules are approximately 80 nucleotides in length. Their secondary structure includes four short double-helical elements and three loops (D, anti-codon, and T loops). Further hydrogen bonds mediate the characteristic L-shaped molecular structure. tRNAs have two regions of fundamental functional importance: the anti-codon, which is responsible for specific mRNA codon recognition, and the 3' end, to which the tRNAs corresponding amino acid is attached (by aminoacyl-tRNA synthetases). tRNAs cope with the degeneracy of the genetic code in two manners: having more than one tRNA (with a specific anti-codon) for a particular amino acid; and 'wobble' base-pairing, i.e. permitting non-standard base-pairing at the 3rd anti-codon position. RNAcentral also lists the same sequence under 1 other name. Lineage: Bacteria; Candidatus Woeseibacteriota. The record is from RNAcentral.
GCUAGCGUAGCUCAGUUGGUAGAGCAUUCCCUUCGUAAGGGAGAGGUCGUGGGUUCGACUCCCUCCGCUAGCUCCG